UCACAAUGCCACCGGGGGAGGCUGAGCAAUAGGGGCAGGUCUCAUUGUCUGCAGACCUACUUCCUUCGUUUCCUGGGGAAUGGAAAGGUGCCCAGCAGCUGAGUGGCCUCAAGCUGGAGACCUACAGGAAGAAGCCGAGCAGUCAUUUGGUUCUUCUACUUCUACGUUUGGGGCUAAUUUUGACAGGGCCUCCCUUCUGCCAGCCCAGGCUUGAGGGGCACCUGUAAGCAAUGGCAGCCGAUGUGACCCAGCCUCUGCAAGUAAGGACAGGGAGCAGCCAAAGACUGGAGACUCUGGGCCCCCAGGUUCGCCUGCCACACUUCCUUAGUGCACCUUGGCGAUGGAGAUCUGGAGACAAAGCCGCCCAGGCCUCUGGCCUAGUGGAGCUGCCCACCAUCCUGCCCACAGAGGGCCUCCCACCAGCCUCAAGCUGUGCUUCACACCCCAUCGAGUCAAAGACUCCAGAAGACACAAGCCCUGAGCAGUCAGAGGAGGGGCGGGGACCUGAGGAUGGCAGUGGGGACGUGGCAAGGCCAUGGAGCCCCGAAUCUUCUCAGUCAGUGGAGCUGAACUCUGCGUGUUUACUGGGAAGCCGCCUUGUGCCUGGCCCCAGGCUCUGGUGAAAAAUAAACUGCCCUCAGGGCCAGCUGGUGGCAAGAAAAA
This is a long non-coding RNA of Chinchilla lanigera (long-tailed chinchilla), 663 nucleotides long. RefSeq lists it as uncharacterized. NCBI's taxonomy places the organism in Eukaryota, Metazoa, Chordata, Mammalia, Rodentia, Chinchillidae. The transcript is spliced from 2 exons. The record is from RefSeq and is a predicted model, not a curated record.